RNAcentral lists this ribosomal RNA (253 nucleotides) under uncultured bacterium. Its description in RNAcentral is "partial 16S ribosomal RNA". It matches the Rfam family "Bacterial small subunit ribosomal RNA", at positions 524 to 776 of the family's 1533-position model. The record is from RNAcentral.
UACGGGGGGGGCAAGCGUUGUUCGGAAUUACUGGGCGUAAAGGGCUCGUAGGCGGCCAACUAAGUCAGACGUGAAAUCCCUCGGCUUAACCGAGGAACUGCCCUCCAAACUGCUUCGCUUGAGACCGGGAGAGGUGAGUGGAAUUCCCAGUGUAGCGGUGAAAUGCGUAGAUAUUGGGAGGAACACCAGUGGCGAAGGCGGCUCACUGGACCGGUACUGACGCUGAUGCGCGAAAGCGUGGGGAGCAAACGGG